RNAcentral lists this long non-coding RNA (1829 nucleotides) under Theobroma cacao (cacao). Its description in RNAcentral is "long non-coding RNA (TCAC_LNC000353)". Lineage: Eukaryota; Viridiplantae; Streptophyta; Magnoliopsida; Malvales; Malvaceae. The record is from RNAcentral.
AGAAAAGAAAGAACAAGAACCCUAGGGUGAAAAUUCAAGAGAAAAAUUGGUGGAUUUCAAGUAAUCAAGCAAUCAAAGGUAAAAUUUCUUGAUUUUGACUUGUGAUCUACCUUUCCCAUGCAUUCUUUUGCAUUUUCCAUGGUUGAAUCACAUGAUUUCAUGAUAGGUAUCUUGCUGGCUAAGCACUUAGAGAGAGGUUUUUAUGCUUGAUUUGGUUAGAUUUCAAUGUAUUUUAGUGUUUUUAGUUGAUUGGUGAUGUGUAGCAUGAAAAUCAAGCAAGAAAAAUUCACGUUCUUCCGUCACCCAUCAUUGGCUGAAUUCUCCAUGUGGAAUAUUGAGGAUGAUUUUGCCAUAUUUCAAGUUAUUUAAUUUGUGUUUGAUGAUUUGGAGUAUUGGAAGAAAAAUGGAAUUAUUUGGAGUUGAAUUGGAUGUAUUGGCCAAUUAAUCGAGUGAUAGAUCGAAUUAGGCUAAUACCGUUUUAUUUAGGUACAUAAUUGAAUUUAUAUUGAACACCAUAUUUAGAUAGUUACCUGAGUAUUUCAUAUCCCAUUUCAUGCAUUAGUAUAGAGCCUAAAUUGGUUUUAUAACAAUUUAGCACAACUGUAGUAAAUGGCUUAUUGUGCAUUAUGUCUAGGUGGUGAGUAUUCUGGUAAAAGUAAAGAGAUAGUACCCGAGGAUCAAGAAUCGGAGUACUCAAAAUAGUAAUCGAGGAUCAAAAAUCGGAGUACUCAGAAUUCAACUCCCGAAAUAGUGAGUAACCUUACUAUCGUCUUAAUUAUCUAAAGUGAUUUUAUCCGAUUUUGUGAUUUUAUGGAAAAUGAGUUUAAAUGGUAAAUCUUUAUGUUUUAUAAGAAAAAUGAGAUUAAAUGGAAAUGAUUUUAAAAAAUUGUCUUGAGAUUGAAUGAUGGUUUUGAAAAUAGAGUAAUUGGAGACUGUUUUCAUGUGUUGUAAAUUCAUGGUUUAAAUCGAAUGGCUUAUGACAAUAUUUGCAUGAAUGGCUGAAUUGGUAAAUGUGCUGAAAAUAUAUGAACUGUGUAUUUAGCCUUGAGAGGCUAGAUUGUGAUAUAAUUGCCAUGUCAUGCGGUUGAGAUUUUAUUGAAUUGGUAGGUUUAGCUUGCUACAGUGGGUGGGUUCCGUGGACCAGCCUAUUAGAGGGGCACGGUAAGCCUGUUAUAUUUUUACCUCUGUCGGAGAUGCGUGUAGGGUAACUCCCAAGGUACACUUCUAGAGUUCACUUCACGCCAAACCACCACGUGAGGGAGAACUCAGCCAACGCCAAGGAACGGCUAUGUUUUCAGAAUAAAAACAUGAUUUAUGCAUAUAUGACUUUUUAACAGCCUUGGCGGACUUGGUUGGGAUAACCCUCAGCCAAGGUAUCCUUGAUAACUGAGUAUGAGAAUGAUUUUGGCAUGAGCCAAAGUUUUAAGAAAUUCAUAAGCCAUGUCGGUUACUCGAUUUAUAUGAAUUGAUUUUAUUUGGUUGAAAUGAGUUAAAAGGUGAUGAAUUACAGUAUGUUAAACUAUUUUAUCUGUCUCCAUUUACUCAGCUUUAGAUAUUUUAGAUGGUAUUUGUUUACUCACUGGGAUUAUAUAAUCUCACCACCUUCUUUUCCACCCAUUUCAGGCUCAGGAUAGUCGGUAGAUAGCUCACUUUGUUGAGGGCUACAAUUGGACUUGCAUCCUAAAAAACUGUAGGUUUACCGCUUUUGAUACUUUUGGUCGUUCGUGGGCCAACGUGUCACUGUAAAUUAAAUUUUAUACUUUGGUUAUCUGUAUUACAAUAUGUAUGAGUUUAUUUAGUUUUUACGCUACAAAAAUUAUUUACCGAUA